UACGUAGGGGGCAAGCGUUGUCCGGAUUUAUUGGGCGUAAAGAGCGUGUAGGCGGCCAGGUAGGUCAGCUGUGAAAACUCGAGGCUCAACCUCGAGACGCCGGUUGAAACCAUCUGGCUAGAGUCCGGAAGAGGAGAGUGGAAUUCCUGGUGUAGCGGUGAAAUGCGCAGAUAUCAGGAAGAACACCCGUGGCUAAGGCGGCUCUGUAGUACGGUACUGACGCUGAGACGCGAAAGCGUGGGGAGCGAACAGG
RNAcentral lists this ribosomal RNA (253 nucleotides) under uncultured bacterium. RNAcentral describes it as "partial 16S ribosomal RNA". It matches the Rfam family "Bacterial small subunit ribosomal RNA", at positions 524 to 776 of the family's 1533-position model. The record is from RNAcentral.